Centruroides sculpturatus (bark scorpion) is the source of this 540-nucleotide long non-coding RNA. RefSeq lists it as uncharacterized. The record is from RefSeq and is a predicted model, not a curated record. Lineage: Eukaryota; Metazoa; Arthropoda; Arachnida; Scorpiones; Buthidae. The transcript has 2 exons.
AAAUUAUUGCUUUAUAAGAUUGAAGUUAAUCGCGUUCUCGAUCUAUACAGUUUACAGAUUAGGGUUGAUAAUUUACUGCGUAACGGUACGAAUGUGACGUCAUUAUAGAUGUUUACUUCAUCUGGAUCUUUCAGCCAAGUUCACCACGAGCUAUCUACAUCAAUCCGCUUUAUAAUUGGUUAUUCGGAUGCAUCACGUGCCGGUAAGUAACCAAUCGGCGCUUGCCAUCAUCCGCACAAAGACGGUCAGCCAUUUUGGAAGAAAGAGAGGUCGAAGGGACUCGAGUAUUCGAACACUCUUACUUUUCAACUACCGAAAAUGGAAGAUUCUCAACAAGUAACUAUAGCAACGGCCCAAUUGGAAGUAGAAGGAAAUUCAACCACUUUGGGAAUUCGUCGACCCUUCGAUCCGGUUGCUCACGAUCUAGAUCCCACCUUCCGUUUGACGAAAUUCGCCGAGUUGAAAGGAUGAGGGUGUAAAGUCCCCCAGGAUGUUUUAUUAAAACUCCUGGAGGGACUGACCCAAGACGGAAAUUCUCAA